This 123-nucleotide transfer RNA is filed under the name Symploca sp. SIO2E9. Its description in RNAcentral is "tRNA-OTHER". It matches the Rfam family "tRNA". From Rfam's summary of the family: Transfer RNA (tRNA) molecules are approximately 80 nucleotides in length. Their secondary structure includes four short double-helical elements and three loops (D, anti-codon, and T loops). Lineage: Bacteria; Bacillati; Cyanobacteriota; Cyanophyceae; Coleofasciculales; Coleofasciculaceae. The record is from RNAcentral.
UGGCGGGUAGCCAAGUGGUUAAGGCACCAAACAUCCUUAUUCACCCCUUGCCCUUUGGGCCGAAGAAUCGAGGGUUAUCGUCUAUACAACGGGUAAUCGCGGGUUCGAAUCCCGCUCCGCCAC